GAGGAGGCUGAGGAGCGUCUUUGCUCCCAGCUGGGUGAACUUGAGGCCGAGGCUGUCGAUCAGGCUCGGACCUACAGGACACAUGUCGUCCAGUUGAUGGAUCAACUCUCUUUGGCACAAAAACUUCUCGAAUCAGCUUCCAUUACCGUCCCUAAUUCCCAAUGAUCGUAGGGGAAAUUGGAAGAGCAUAAUCCACCGAAAGCAUUGGCUGUUGCUUUUCAGUUUUCUGGUGUGUGGGUGUUUUAUUUCUUCAUCACUGAUUUUUUUCUUUUUCCGAUUGACAUAGAUAGCCUUUUUCUGGAAAAUUCAUUUGAUGUUUGAUAUAUGGCUGUUGUGUAUUGUUGGCGGCCGGUUUUUAUUGUGAGGUUGGUUUCUGGCUCCAUGUAAAUAACAAGAUCGAUGUAACAUUAGGAACUAAGAAUUGUGGAGUAUAAUGACCUUUUUCUUCUUCUCUUCUUUUUUAGAGGUGUAAUCUGGGGAAUUUUGUGUACUUUUAGAUUAUGUUAUUUUCUCUUGAUCUAUUUUCUUCCAUUCUCUUCUCCUCAAUUCCGCGAUAAUGGUAAACCUUAUGCCCGGGCGGAAAAGGUCUGUAUUGCCAAAACAAUAAUUUCACCUCUUAAUUGGUGUGAGUUAUGAAACGAAAGGCAGUAAAUAGCGAUGGUGCUCGUUAUAUACUAUCGCAUUGUUGCUAUUGAUUUCAAUGGAAAGCUAUAUGGAAUUUUGGUAACGGGAAAGAGCAAUUCCUGGCCCUUCUUGGCGAGUAGGGGUGUCAAACGGGCGGGUUGGGUCGGUUCGGAUAUGAGCGGGUCAAAACGGAUAAAUUAUCCGAACCGACCCAACAGAUAGAAAACAUGUUUAUCUAGCGGAUAAUAUGGAUAUUCAUAUUAUAUAUGGCUUCUUAGUGAGAGAAUUCCUAGUCUUCCAAACUUGAGGAAUAGGUUUUUCAAAUGUAAAAUUUAAACACAUUAGUUAUCCAUUGGUUAUCCAUUUGGUUAAUCAUUUUCUAAGUGAAUAAUAUGGUUCUUUAUCCAUAUUCAAUCCGUUUUUAAAUGGUUCAUUAUCUAAUCCAUUUUUGUAUGGAUAACUGUUUUUUUUAAACUAUUUUGCUACCUCUAUUGGCGAGCUUGAAUAUUAGGAAGUUGUCAAAAGCUUUCUCCCUCUAUAGUGUUUCGCAAGUUAGUUACUUUACAAAAGGGAUUUAAGUUACUUAGUUACCACAUUUAUUUUAUGUUGCCAAUUAAGUUUAUUAUAUAGAAUUACCUGCAGCACAGUUAUGUUGUCUUUUAAAUGCGCUGAUUAUGCAAAUAUAUUUUUAUACCAUCAAUAUAUAAAACUUAAAAUCGAACAAAAGAAGAUGACACAGAUGUAAUAAGAACUCGACAAGCUCUGCUUAAGAACAUCAUUUUCUUUUCACUAAUUAAAUGACUAUGAUUCUGUCUGGUCUACUCUAGCUAGUUGCAUGCCUAAUUAUUGCUUGGCAUUGAAGUCCCUUUGCUAAUCCUUUUUUACCAUACUUAUCAGUUGGAGGUAAAGGUGGUUUAGUGGGCAUUUGGACAUAAAGAAUUGUAAAAUUUCAAAAAAAAAAAAAUUUAAGUGAAAAUGGUAUUUGAAAAUUAGAGUUGUGUUUAGACAUAAAUAUAAUUUUGGGUUGUUUUUGAAGUUUUGUGAGCGAUCUGAGUAAAAAUUUUGAAAAACAGCUUUUUAGAGUUUUUCAAAUUUUUGAAAAAAUUCCAAAAUUCAUCUUCAAGUGAAAAUUGGAAAUUUAAAGUGAAAAAAUUCUUAUGCGGCUCUUAAUCAACAGAUAGGAUCUAGUAACUGCUUAAGAUAAAAACCCUUAAAAUGUUAUUGUUAAAGUGUACCUUAGUAAAUCUUAAUAGAUCGAGAGAACAAUUGGUUAUUUUCUGUUUUAGUUCAUCAAUAGGACAAAGGGGGAACAAACAAUGUUUUGGUUCGAAUGAUAGUGCAUUUUUCCAGUUUUAAUCCUCGUCUUCUUCAACUUAAUUAACAUUUAAUUUGACGUUUGAUUGAAGAAGAUGUGUGAUUUAUGUCCCUAAGCUAACAGACCUUAGCUUCUUAUUUUUAAGAGCAAGAAGGGGUAUUUCUGUGAUUUGAGAAAGCCAAGAGACGGGGCAAGAAUUGAAAUGCAACCGAGCUAGAGUUCCAAAAUUUUGGUCUGUUGUUUUAAUUUUUAUUUACACGGUCUAAAUUUUCUUCAACUUAGUGCCAAAUCCAUUUCUUUGCAAAAUAUUAGCAAGAAGUCGUCCAAAGGACAUCUAAAAUGCCGACUAUGACGAUGGCAACAUAAAGAGGUGGAUUUCAUAUAAAAUGAAAGUCAAAUACCUAGAAAUUCCUAUUUCUCUGUGUUCUUCUUUUGUUACUUCUUCUUCGUAACUGAAUAUAAAUAAAAUAAAUUGGAGGCAAUAGGGAAAAUAAAUCUGGAAAGGAAACGGCCGACCCUCAACAUCGCAAUUAAAAAAUGACAUAAAAUAACAGUCGACAAAUUUAAGUCAAGGGUGGAGCACUAGCAUUUUCUUAUUGUUUUCACAUCCAAUGACGCAACAAAACGUAGACAAGUCAUGUAACGCUGGAAAAAAAAACUUCCCUUCCUGCAUUCCAAAUAUUAAUUAUUUUGAAAAUUUUAAUUUAGUUUAGAAUAUUAAGGGCCCGUUUUGCCAUAAGAAAUUUUUUACUUUUUCGAAUUUUUUUUUUUUACUUUUUUUUCGAAAUUAGUGUUUGUCCAUGAAAAUUUCAAAUUUCACCUUGAAAUUGAAUUUUGAAAUUUUUCGAAAAUUUGAAAACUCCAAAAUUUGUUUUUCAAAAAAAUUUACUUCAAAUCACUCACAAAAAUUCAAAAACAGUUCUAGAUUGUAUUCAUGUCCAAACACAGCUCUAAUUUUCAAAUAUUAUUUUCACUUUAAAAAAAAUCACUUUUAUUCUGGAACUUUACAAUUCUUAUGUCCAAACCACCGCUAAGUAUUUAGAGAAAUAAGGAAUCAUAUUUACUCCACUUAUUUUUUCUAUUUUUUUAAGUGUUAACAGACUUUUUACGGGAGAGGAAAAAGAAAUUAAACAAAUUCUAAUGAUUUGGUAUUUGUAUGAAGAUCUUAUAAGACAGAUAAUAAGGAUAAAAUUAUCAUAUUACCUAAUAAGCCCUGAAUUAAUUGAUAGUUUAAAAUUAGAAACCCAAAAAAUUGUGUACAAACCAAAAGGCUUCGGGGUGCUAGAUACAUUGAGCGUAGACAUAUUCCUCUAACUCUGAUGUUUUAAUAUAUUUACGAUUUACGAAUAUGUAAAAAGCAUAUAAUAUGGGUAAGAUCGUAACAGGACCUAAUAAGCUCCUGAAUUAAUUAAUUAAUGGUUCAAAAAUUAGAAACCCAAAAAACAAAAACAAAAAUGAAGGACGCUAGAUACAUUGAACCUGGACAUACUCAUUAUGGGGCUAUAUAGGGCUCCUGUAACUUAACAAUAUUCCUCACAAACUAAUCACCAAUUUGCAUUUCUGUUUCUAUUGCCUCAGUUUUAAUAGUAGCAAUUUUUUUUAUAGUUCCACCAUUUUCUCAACUACUAUUCCUUUCAACAUGUUUUCGACAAUUGCUGUGCCUUCCAACCAAACAAAGCCUCAUCACCGUGACAUCUCCGCCGUGCCGGAGAGCGAGGUGCUCAGAAGAAGAAAUGAGGAGUUGGAGAAUGAAUUAAAAAAGAGCAUUGAGAGAGAAGAGAAAAUGAAGCAGGAAUUGCACAAAACAUGGGAAAGGCUGAGGGUGGCGGAGGAGGCUGAGGAGCGACUUUGCUCCCAGCUCGGUGAACUUGAGGCCGAGGCUGUAGAUCAGGCUCGGACUUACAGGACACGUGUCGUCCAGUUGAUGGAUCAACUCUCUCUGGCACAAAAACUUGUCGAAUCAGCUUCCGCUACCGCUCCCGAUUCCCAAUGAUUGUAGGAGAAAUUGGCAGCUCAUGCCUGUAACGUUAUGCACCUAAGCCUUGGCUAUUCGUUUUCAGUUUUCUGGUGUGUGGGUGUUUAAUUUCUUCAUCACUGAUUUUUUUUUAUUUUCCGAUUGACAUAGAUAGCCCUUUAUUUUAUUCAUUUGAUGUUUGAUAUAUGGCUGUUGUGUAUUGGUGGCGGCCUGUUUGUAUUGUGGGGUUGGUUUUUGGCUCCAUGUAAAUGACGAUAUGUAAGAUUAGGAACUCAGAUUUGUGGUGUAUUGUAUAUUGACCUUUUUUUCCUUUUUCUUUUUAUUUUUCCGAGGUGUUAUGGUGAUUUUUGUGUUCAUUUAGAUUAUGUUGUUUUCUCUUGAUCUAUAUUCUUCUAUAAUUUCUUUCAUGUCCUCAAUUCUGC
Molecule: long non-coding RNA, 4336 nt
Filed under: Nicotiana tabacum (common tobacco)
Lineage: Eukaryota; Viridiplantae; Streptophyta; Magnoliopsida; Solanales; Solanaceae
Description: long non-coding RNA (NTAB_LNC000011)
Source: RNAcentral